Molecule: long non-coding RNA, 1053 nt
Organism: Rosa rugosa (rugosa rose)
Lineage: Eukaryota; Viridiplantae; Streptophyta; Magnoliopsida; Rosales; Rosaceae
Exons: 5
Source: RefSeq, a predicted model, not a curated record
CGACAUCUGCGGAUGGUUUUGGCGCGGUUUUGAUAUGAUGGGAGACGGAGAUGAUGCUUUGAUCUGGAUUCUGCCGACAUAAAAAGGAGUUAGUUCAGCCAGACAGAGAGUGAGGGAGAGAAGAAAGAAGAGAAGCAACCAGAUCGAAUCCAAAACCGCAAGCGUCAAACACCAAUCGGCAAGCUUUUCAGAUCAAAAACAAACAAAGAAUCCAAAACAAACCCAGACCAAUGCGUGCGUGAUUGAGCUCAUUUGGUCAAAUCGGAAUAUCUGAUUGAGCAUCCAUUUGAUCGAAUCGGAGGAUCCGAUUGAGCAAUCAGAUAUCUUUGAUAUGUUGAGGUUCAACCGUUCAGUUCACUCUUCACAAUAUAAUACUAGACUGUGUUAAAGAGAGGGAGAUAGAGUUGCAGCAUGCCUGUAGAUAAGAGAAGAGAGAGGGCCGGAGAUACAGUCUUCUUAUUUUGAAAUCGAGCAGAGGAAGCUAAUUAUAUUCUGAAAUAGUGGGAAUUGCAGAAAGGUCAGAGAAGAAACUGAAGGUUAUGCCAGCUGUGUUACCAAUAAUUCGACCAAUAUGUGAUUGUUGAGGGUUUUCGCUUUUGUCUGCCAAAAGCAGGUGAAACUAGACGAUAGAAGUUCCAAGGACCGUAGUCUAGAUGAAUCAGAGGGAAGGAUUCAGUAGACGGCUAUUCAUUUGGGGCUUCAAAAUCAGGGAGAUGAGAAGAAUAACAUGAAGAAUUUCACUACAUUGAUCGUGGAUAUGAUGAAAAAAGAGAAACCAUUUGCUUCUCAAGGAGGUCCUAUCAUUAUUGCUCAGAUACAUAUGCUUAGAUAUAUCGAGGUCAAACCUUACAACACCUUUAUCUAACCAAAAUGGAUUACAAAGGCUAAAGUAUAUGCAAGAUUAUCUCCCCUGUCAGUGCUUCUACUCCUGCUGGAUUGUAAAUGAAAGAUCAGUUUGUUUUUUCACUUCCGUUUGCAAUAAAAUCAAAUUUCAUUUACAGGAUUUGUUACAAUAUAAAAUAAUCAUAAUAAAUCAAACAAAGAUUAAUUGCA